This 480-nucleotide ribosomal RNA is filed under the name uncultured bacterium. RNAcentral describes it as "partial 16S ribosomal RNA". It matches the Rfam family "Bacterial small subunit ribosomal RNA", at positions 28 to 507 of the family's 1533-position model. The record is from RNAcentral.
GAUGAACGCUAGCGGCAGGCCUAACACAUGCAAGUCGAGGGAGAGGUUACCUUCGGGUAACCAAAACCGGCGCACGGGUGCGUAACGCGUAUACAAUCUGCCUUUCACAUAGGGAUAGCCCGAAGAAAUUUGGAUUAAUACCUAAUGGUAUAUAAGAGCGGCAUCGUUUUUAUAUUAAAGCUACGGUGGUGAAAGAUGAGUAUGCGUUCUAUUAGCUAGUUGGAGAGGUAACGGCUCCCCAAGGCGACGAUAGAUAGGGGUUCUGAGAGGGAUGUCCCCCACACGGGUACUGAGAUACGGACCAGACUCCUACGGGAGGCAGCAGUGAGGAAUAUUGGACAAUGGUCGGAAGACUGAUCCAGCCAUGCCGCGUGCAGGAUGAAGGUCCUAUGGAUUGUAAACUGCUUUUGUAAGGGAAGAAUAAGGAGUACGUGUACUUUGAUGACGGUACCUUACGAAUAAGCAUCGGCUAACUCCGUG